RNAcentral lists this small RNA (107 nucleotides) under Marmota monax (woodchuck). The record is from RNAcentral. Lineage: Eukaryota; Metazoa; Chordata; Mammalia; Rodentia; Sciuridae.
GCCAGGCUUGGUGGCACACACCUGUAAUCCCAGCAACUUGGGAAGCUGAGGCAGAAGGACUGCUAGUUUGAGGCCAGCCUCAGCAAUUUAGCAAGAUCCUGUCUUGA